Unclassified non-coding RNA from Macaca fascicularis (crab-eating macaque), 148 nucleotides. It matches the Rfam family "Metazoan signal recognition particle RNA". Rfam says of the family: The signal recognition particle (SRP) is a universally conserved ribonucleoprotein. It is involved in the co-translational targeting of proteins to membranes. Lineage: Eukaryota; Metazoa; Chordata; Mammalia; Primates; Cercopithecidae. The record is from Ensembl.
GCCGGGCGUAGUGUUGGACGCCUGUAAUCCCAGCUACUCUGGAGGCUGAGGCAGGAGAAUCGCUUGAACCCGGGAGAUGGAGGUUGCAGUGAGCUGAGAUCAUGCCACUGCCCUCCAGCCUGGGCAACAGAGCAAGACUCUGUCUCAA